Small nucleolar RNA from Zingiber officinale, 108 nucleotides. NCBI's taxonomy places the organism in Eukaryota, Viridiplantae, Streptophyta, Magnoliopsida, Zingiberales, Zingiberaceae. The record is from RefSeq and is a predicted model, not a curated record.
AUUUGAUGCUGAGGGCAACUUGAAUAUAAUUUCUUGAAUCUCUCCCAAUAGUCAUAGAGAGUUUCCCCCACAUUUUGUUGAAUGCUACAGAUACUUUUUCCUGAUAGU